Molecule: ribosomal RNA, 408 nt
Filed under: uncultured bacterium
Lineage: Bacteria
Description: partial 16S ribosomal RNA
Rfam family: Bacterial small subunit ribosomal RNA
Source: RNAcentral
AAUAUUGCGCAAUGGAGGAAACUCUGACGCAGCGACGCCGCGUGAGCGAUGAAGGUCUUCGGAUCGUAAAGCUCUGUCCUUGGGGAAGAAGAUCGAAAGAUUUGACGGUACCCGAGGAGGAAGCCCCGGCUAACUACGUGCCAGCAGCCGCGGUAAUACGUAGGGGGCAAGCGUUGUCCGGAAUUAUUGUGCGUAAAGGGUGCGUAGGCGGCUUUUUAAGUCAGAUGUGAAAGACCACGGCUUAACCGUGGGGUUGCAUUUGAAACUGGAAGGCUUGAGUAUCGGAGAGGGUAGUGGAAUUCCCAGUGUAGCGGUGAAAUGCGUAGAUAUUAGGAGGAACACCAGUGGCGAAGGCGACUCUCUGGACUGCAACUGACGCUGAGGCACGAAAGCGUGGGGAGCGAACAG